This 297-nucleotide long non-coding RNA is filed under the name Phoenix dactylifera (date palm). RNAcentral describes it as "long non-coding RNA (PDAC_LNC009905)". Lineage: Eukaryota; Viridiplantae; Streptophyta; Magnoliopsida; Arecales; Arecaceae. The record is from RNAcentral.
AGAGAUGAGGCUUGUGCAGCCAUAACAGCUUGCCUAGGAAUGUUGGUUUUUCUUUUGACCGUGGUGAGGUCUUUCAAGAAUUUUGUAUAGGAGAAAAUUUGUCGUAUGACAUCGAGGAAAGGUAUAUUUAUUUGAACAGUUUUAAAGACUUCCAUUAUUUCAUCAAAGUUAGAUUAUUUCUUGGAGUCCCGAAGUCUACUGGGAAAGGGAACCUUAGGUUUGUAUGUUUCUAUGGGUUCUUCCUUUUUUUCUGAUUUAUCCUGUUCUUGACCUCUCUUCUGAAUAGGAUUCUUAUCG